AUUGAACGCUGGCGGCAUGCUUUACACAUGCAAGUCGAACGGCAGCGCGGGCUUCGGCCUGGCGGCGAGUGGCGAACGGGUGAGUAAUGCAUCGGAACGUGCCCAGUAGUGGGGGAUAGCCCGGCGAAAGCCGGAUUAAUACCGCAUACGACCUGAGGGUGAAAGCGGGGGACGGAAAGGCCUGUCGCUCUUGUAGGGGCGGAUGUCGGAUUAGCUAGUUGGUGGUGUAAAGGCUUACCAAGGCGACGAUCCGUAGCUGGUCUGAGAGGACGACCAGCCACACUGGGACUGAGACACGGCCCAGACUCCUACGGGAGGCAGCAGUGGGGAAUUUUGGACAAUGGGGGCAACCCUGAUCCAGCCAUGCCGCGUGCGGGAAGAAGGCCUUCGGGUUGUAAACCGCUUUUGUUCGGGAAGAAAUCCUCUGGGCUAAUACCCCGGGGGGAUGACGGUACCGGAAGAAUAAGCACCGGCUAACUACGUG
RNAcentral lists this ribosomal RNA (484 nucleotides) under uncultured bacterium. Its description in RNAcentral is "partial 16S ribosomal RNA". It matches the Rfam family "Bacterial small subunit ribosomal RNA", at positions 28 to 507 of the family's 1533-position model. The record is from RNAcentral.